Molecule: non-coding RNA, 23 nt
Filed under: Arabidopsis thaliana (thale cress)
Lineage: Eukaryota; Viridiplantae; Streptophyta; Magnoliopsida; Brassicales; Brassicaceae
Source: RNAcentral
UGGAUGUCACGCGUGUAAUUAUG